UAUAAUAACAAACAGGGUGAAGCACGUCGCUGUGUCUUAAUGAUACGUAUUACCUCUAAAUAUUUCUGAACACCACACAUCAUCCCGGCGCGGUAUAGCUUUUUUUAAUCCGAUACAUUUCAUUGAUUUAUACACUUUUCAAUGAAAACACCCUGUUUCCUCUUCUUUAUUUCUUCUUUUUUUUUAGAAUUUAGUCUCAAACAAAAUGAUCCAUUUUACACAUCCACUGAGGGUUUAUAAACCCUGCUGGCUGCUGCUAAACAGCAUUAAUGUUUGUGUAUGACUCUUCUGGGUAGUGGGAUAAAUGUACUGUAGGUACGUACUUCUAAGCAGAAACAGUCACUUUACUUAAUAUGCCCAAAGACCCUUGUCAUGUCAGGAUCUGGUAUAAUGUGAUAACCAAAGAUCAAUUUGCUUUGUGAUUUCAUGUGUACUACAGCAUUCAUAAACUCAUGUCUAACCCCAUUCACAACAUGAAAUUAGUGUGACUGCCAAGCUGUACUGACUGUACUGAUCAAGUUAAAUAUUUACAGAAUAACAUACUUCUCUACACCUCUUCAAUUAUAAAAAAAAUUUAAAUCCGCAUAUGUUGUGUGUUUGUGACUAGCAAACAAGGGUAAAACACUUCCGGAGCUAUAAGACCAUGACCACUUCACUCUGCCGCUAAACUACAGCGUAAUCAUCGUCAUCCAGUCUGCUUGGAAAGACCAUAGCAGCCAACACAUGUCAUAGUGCAGAAAUAAGAAUCUGAGCAGUUUUUAAAACUAGAAAUUGUAAGAAAAAACUGUGUUUUGAAGAGUCUGCAUGUACACCUGUGGUAAUUGUUUUAUUUCGUUUUGAUUGAUUGAUUGAUUUGAACAUUCCUGGGAUGAUUUCGAUGAGCAGGACUCCACUGUACUGUUGCCAUUUAGGCUCUGCUAUGAUUGUGUUAGUCACGUGGUAAAUCCUUUUCUCACAGGGCCAGAGUUAACUUCAGCAGAAACAUGUCAUCCAUAUGAGAUAGAGUAUAUUAAGACUAUAUUACUAUAUUAAUAUAUUUAUGCUAUUCAGUACAGCAUUAAAUAUUCUAUGUUUUAUACGACGUAACCUCAACAGCAUUUAUGCAAAACUCCUGAUGCGUAGAAAGCUGUAGAUAAAAUAGGCAAACUAAACAAAUGAUUCAACUAAAUGGCAACAAUUCUAAUUGCGCAGAAUAAUUGCUCAGAAUAGUACUAAGUUGUGAAUUUGUAGAUAUUGUGAAAUUAAUUCCGAUAGUUUUUGUGAAUAUUGAUAUGUCAUGUCAUUUAUUUUUACAUUUGAUAAGUACUGCUGUCUUACAUUGAGCUCUGUAACACUACGUGUUAUGGUAUUAUAAAGAUGUACAGUAGAGAUAAUACUCAUCGAGCUAUUAACACGAUCCGUACCUUGUGUGCACUUUUCAAACCUAACUGUGAAUAAGCAGCUGUCUGCAAGCAGAGUCGUACACACUGUGUUCUCUCUCCAGCAAUUUCACUGCAUGUCUCUACGCAUUGAGAGAUCAAAGACUUCCUCUACAAAGACAGCUCCGGGAACUUUGUGGACUUUGUGUUUUCGUUAGGAAGUGGUCUCUAUAUGCUCAGUGACUGGACUCUGUGUUGCCCUCUGUCAUUCGUGUGCUUACUGUAUGGGAUAUAGCAAAUGGAAAUGAGGAUUAAAAGGACCGUGUAUUUUGUCUUGGAGUUAAAAGGCCCUUCUUGGUGACAUCCGAGCCUCAAAGGUGCACGCUUUCAACACGCUGGACUCACCUGAUGCUCCUUUAGAGGCUCAUUUGACG
Astatotilapia calliptera (eastern happy) is the source of this 1792-nucleotide long non-coding RNA. Lineage: Eukaryota; Metazoa; Chordata; Actinopteri; Cichliformes; Cichlidae. The record is from Ensembl.